This is a non-coding RNA of Spodoptera litura, 424 nucleotides long. The record is from RefSeq and is a predicted model, not a curated record. Lineage: Eukaryota; Metazoa; Arthropoda; Insecta; Lepidoptera; Noctuidae.
GGCACGUUCUGUUGCUCUACUGCUAUUACUGUGUUCGUCGAUCGUAUCAACUUUGGCAACACCAUGGGCUUUUUACAACAUACCAUCAUUCACACAUCGUCCUCAACAUCAUAACAUUCAGCUGACAGAUACAGUUCCAGUAGCUGCACCCACCAUAUCAAGCAUUGUUAUCAAAGAUAAUGCACAACAAACCAAUAUUGGCAAUGGAGGAGCUGCCUAUGGAAAUGGUAAUGCUGGAAAUGGUGGGAACUUCGAAAACAUAAAUAUCGAAGGUAUAAAGGACAACACUGACACUGUGCCCUCAGAUGGGGGUACUCCCGAUGACGUUUUUAAUCUUGGUAAUGGAGGAAACAGCUACGGACGUGGUGAUGGUGAAAAUGGUCACAACUUUAGCAACAUCACUAUAACGGGGUAGGACUUGAAU